GACGAACGCUGGCGGCGUGCCUAAUACAUGCAAGUAGAACGCUGAAGGAGGAGCUUGCUUCUCUGGAUGAGUUGCGAACGGGUGAGUAACGCGUAGGUAACCUGCCUGGUAGCGGGGGAUAACUAUUGGAAACGAUAGCUAAUACCGCAUAAGAGUAGAUGUUGCAUGACAUUCGCUUAAAAGGUGCAAUUGCAUCACUACCAGAUGGACCUGCGUUGUAUUAGCUAGUUGGUGGGGUAACGGCUCACCAAGGCGACGAUACAUAGCCGACCUGAGAGGGUGAUCGGCCACACUGGGACUGAGACACGGCCCAGACUCCUACGGGAGGCAGCAGUAGGGAAUCUUCGGCAAUGGACGGAAGUCUGACCGAGCAACGCCGCGGGAGUGAAGAAGGGUUUCGGAUCGUAAAGCUCUGUUGUAAGAGAAGAACGAGUGUGAGAGUGGAAAGUUCACACUGUGACGGUAUCUUACCAGAAAGGGACGGCUAACUACGUG
This 495-nucleotide ribosomal RNA is filed under the name uncultured bacterium. RNAcentral describes it as "partial 16S ribosomal RNA". It matches the Rfam family "Bacterial small subunit ribosomal RNA", at positions 28 to 507 of the family's 1533-position model. The record is from RNAcentral.